Long non-coding RNA from Silurus meridionalis, 1403 nucleotides. RefSeq lists it as uncharacterized. The transcript has 2 exons. Lineage: Eukaryota; Metazoa; Chordata; Actinopteri; Siluriformes; Siluridae. The record is from RefSeq and is a predicted model, not a curated record.
ACUGAUCAUGGUAAUGAUUUCUCAUAAUAAUUAACAAUCAUUUAACGAAGUAGGAAACAGCUAUUUUUAGAAAAGGCCUGUGGGCUACUCAUGUGGUCCUUACGGGCACCACGUUGGUGACCCCUAGUCUAUAGGCUACCUUUAUGGAGAAUUAUGGACACAGCUGUCUAACAGCUUCUCAAAUCUAAGCUGUGGAUCUCUCCGGCUGUUUCUCCUUUCAGUGGCCUCCUUGAUAAAGAUCCUCUUCACACCAUCACUGGCGUUUGGUGAGUGGCUUAGAGUCGGGAUUGUGCAACAUUCUGUCCAUUUUAAAAACGUUUAUUUCAAACCCUGAUUAAUACUUUGUCCUUGAUUUGUUUUAAUAGCUCUUUAUCCUUUCAGGUUUUAUGAUACCCCAUAAUCCAUAACAAGCUCUGGGUUCUUCCAGGAACCGGUGAAUUUAUUUUCAGAUCAGGUCCACUUAAUUCAAAUCACUACAUGAGUCCAUUUCAAAUCCAGAUUGUAGCACUACAAAAUAUGGAUCCUUUAAGGCACUGUAGGUAGUGUUGGGCUUUAAUGUGCUGAAGACAAACCUGGCAUGGUUGCAGAUCAGCACACAGAUCACACAGCAGUUUAACGAUCCCAGUUUCUUCCCAAGCCUUUUUUUGUACCGACAAUCUCAGGAGUUCCUCCUCCUUCCCCAGCAGAUGUGAUGAAUCCCAGAGUCUAGUGCUGUAGGAAAGUUUAGUAUAUUCCUGAAAAUACUUUUCUACAACUGGCGUUGCUCUUCAGCUGUUUGAUAUUUACAGUACAGGCAAGAAGGUUUUCAUCUCCGACAGAACUUUUGGACAGUCCAGAGGAGUGAACAUUGCUUCUUUCAUGUUACAGUUUCUUAAUGAGUAAAACGUACAGUUUUGUUUGUGCAAACUUUCACUAAUGCUUACAGCCUGUAGAAAUGAAGGACUGUUGAGAAACAUGCUGCUUGUCUCAGUACUACUGAUGCUUAAAGGAGCCUGGACGUGGAACCUAAAAUCUGAAAACCAGAAAUGUCCAUCACUAGUUGUGUGAGCUCAUGAUCUCUACAGGGGUUGGCUGGACUGACACCUCAGCCUCAUCUUCACCAACACAAAAACUGAUUAAAUCCUAAAGACACCCACUCCACUGAUGAUGGGGGGUAGGUUGGGUGGGGGACGACUGUUGAUCUCAUUCUUUUUAUUUAAAGUAUUUAAUUCACAAUUUGUCAUGUUUAUUUUUCCUACCACCAGAAACAGAUUGGUCUAUACUAUCCUCCAGUGUGUAAUGAAAUAUUAUUCAGUCCUCACUGUUCUACAUGUCCCAUCCUCCCUGUAUGUGGUUUGGUCUGAUAUAUUCUGUAUUAUCCCUGUCACUGUUGACAAUUACUCUUAAACUUGUAUCCGAUUCCA